UGAGCCGGCGAUGGUUCUGUCUGGAAACUGUUAUGAGCAUCUAUUUUGGUGGAACAUAUAGUAUGAUGAAGUUGUCUCCAGAACUGUUAUCUUAUGUUUCCUAGUGUAGACCAGAACAAUAUUAAACCUCUCUAUAUAGUGCAGUAGUAUGUUGUAUAAAGAACACUGGUAAGUUUAUCCAUCAGCAUGUCAGGUUAGCUACAAUGGAACAUAAAAUUACUAUGGCUAUGCUGUGUGGUACCACUGUCUGUUUUUUCUCUUAGGUAAGAUAGCAUUGUUCAGUUACACAUGGAAUUACUACCUUUUCUUUUUCAUCCAUGUAGCGUCCUCUCUCUUGUCUUGUCCUUGCCCUUCCACCACCGUUCUUCCACUGAGCUAGGGGGGGGGGUGCUCGUCGCUUCUCCGUCGAGCACCGCACCAUCCCCAACNNNNNNNNNNNNNNNNNNNNNNNNNNNNNNNNNNNNNNNNNNNNNNNNNNNNNNNNNNNNNNNNNNNNNNNNNNNNNNNNNNNNNNNNNNNNNNNNNNNNNNNNNNNNNNNNNNNNNNNNNNNNNNNNNNNNNNNNNNNNNNNNNNNNNNNNNNNNNNNNNNNNNNNNNNNNNNNNNNNNNNNNNNNNNNNNNNNNNNNNNNNNNNNNNNNNNNNNNNNNNNNNNNNNNNNNNNNNNNNNNNNNNNNNNNNNNNNNNNNNNNNNNNNNNNNNNNNNNNNNNNNNNNNNNNNNNNNNNNNNNNNNNNNNNNNNNNNNNNNNNNNNNNNNNNNNNNNNNNNNNNNNNNNNNNNNNNNNNNNNNNNNNNNNNNNNNNNNNNGCGUGGCAUGAAGCAACAUGAUCCAACCGCUUUCAUUACCAUCCAUUUUGCCACAUCAAACAGAUGACAUAAGUGGAAUCUUGUUGUUUUUCGGACUUCAAAAUGUUUUAUCUCUUAAAUAAAAAAUAUGUUUUCAUCAUUAAAUUCGUCUUAAAGAGAUCUUCAAAACUAGAUCCCACAUUAAUAUGUUUCAGUGACUUUUUUGUUGGCUAGAAGUCGCCAUGAUGUUACACUGAAGUUGUCAGAAUGUUUACAUUGAAGAUGCCAUAAUGUUUACACUAAAUAUGCCAUGAUAUGUUUCAUCUAUUAUUACUUCUAGAUUUAAAGCUACCAUUGUAUUUCAACUACUUUCCACGGCAAAUUUUUUAAUUGACCAGGGCAAUUUUUAGUAAUUAACCACGACAAAUAUAAUUCAUGGAUCAUGACUAUUUUUAGUAAUUUAUCAUGGCAAAUUUAGUUUAUAGAUCAUGACAAUUUUAGUAUUUUCACGAGGUAAAUACACCCGUGGUGCUUCAACUUGCCACAGAUGUUCAGUUUAGUGCCUGAACUUGAAAAAUACAUCAAACUGAUUCUAAAAUUUGGCACGAACGUGCAAAUACGGUGCUAAUCACACCCGUAGACGUAAAGUGCGUCGAGGUGGCACCGUAUAUGGCUGAUGUGGUACAGACAUGGCGUGGGGCCCACUUAUAACUACGAAACAUAAUUACUUGAAUAGUAAAUGUCUCUAUGACUAGUGGCCCCGCCUGUCAGUACCUUAGAAAAAUAAAAUGGAAAAUGCGCCAGUCAGGUAUCACACCAGCAGCAAGACGAUUACACGCUGCUAAUGCAAGCUACCACACCUCAUAAUCGUUUUCGUUAAAUUUGGCGCCUCAGUCAAAAUAUACUGAGCGAGAAACUCCUGUGUCUGGAAAUGGGCCGCAGCCAGUGGCCCAUAUCGCACACGUUAUUUUUUUAAAUGUAAAAAAUACGUAAAUAAUAAUAAUAAUAAAAGUAAGAUUCAAAUAUUCAAAUGUUAGAAGAAAGUACCUCAUGCCACACAAAUGUCCACGUGCAUACAAAGUAAAUAUAUAGAGGUAUACUAUACAAAAUAAAAUAAAAUAUUUAAAUAUAUUCCUGUAAUAUUUAGAAAUAUUUAAUUAUUAUUUAGAACAUAAUUAUUAUUUAUAAAAUAUAUUUUAAAUGUUAGUAUUUACAAAAACAAUUAAACACUCAUGGAUUAUAUUUAAAAUAGUAUUUUCUAAUAAUAAGUUAAUAUUUCUAAAAAUUGCAGGAACAUUUUUAAGGUAUUUAAAUCUAGAUAUUUGUGUAGCAUAAAGUAAUUAUUAGUAACACAUGAAUAUUUAAAUCUAGAUUUUAUUAUUAUGAUUAUUAUUGACAUACUUUUUACAUUAAAAAAUAAUGUGCGGAAAAUGGGCCACAAGCUGCAACCCAUUUAUGUAUACUGGAGUUUUCGGUUGAAAUACAUUAAGGAUGAGGGGCUGACAUUAACUUGAAAACAUAUUUGGUGGAAUGGUGAGCCCAAGUAUUUCCCAACGUCAGGUCGCAGGUUCGAUGCCCGUCUAUUACGUUUUUAUGUUAUUUUUCUUACUAAUUAUUUACUGACAGGCAGGCCCACUAGUCAUAGGGUCAUAUAUGGUACUCGAGUAAUUCUGUUUUGUAACUACAAGUAGGCCCCACGCCAUGUCAGUGCCACGUCAGCCAUACACGAUGCCACAUUGACGUGCUUUACGUCUAUGGAUAGGAUUAGCACCGUAUUUGCAUGUUUGUGUCAAGUUUUAGAACCAGUUAGACGUAUUUUUCAAGUUCAAGCACUAAAGUGAACAUUGAUAACAAGUUCAAGCACCAUUGUUGUAUUUACCUCUAUUUUCACCAUGGCAAUUCUAUUAUUUUUGACCAUGGAAAUUAUUUAUUUGUGUGAAGCAUGGCAAAUUUUAGUGCAUGUAUCAUGACAAUUUUAAGUAAUUUACCAUGACAAUUUUAGUUUCUGAUUCAUAACAAAUUUGAGUCAUUGACUAUCCAUCUUUAAAUUAAUUGAUGAUGGAUUUCUUUUUAAUGAUGAACCAUGUCAAAAUUGUUUCAUGGAUUAUGACAAAGUAAUUCUACAUGGCAAGUUUAUUCUUGAUUCUCUUUUUUAUAACAUGUCAAAAUUUACUUUAAACGAAGAAGAAAAAACUAGUUAAAGCGUAUCAUGGCAACUUUAGUGUAAACGCCAUAGCAAUUUAUGUGCAAUAGACAUGGCAACUUUUAACCGUUAAAAAAUAAAGUCGAAACAUAUCGACAUGGGAUCUAGUUUUGAAAUCCUCGUCGCCGCUGAUUUAAUGGUGAAAACAGAUUUUCAUUCGAAAUUUUUAUUUAAGAGAUAAAACACUAUAAAGUUUGAAAACCCCCAAAGAUUCCCGUUGACAUGAUCUGUUUUGUCCCUAUUUGUAUGCAUGUGUGAAAGAAACAAAAAUGUUGACGUGUCACAAUGGGUGACUAAAAUGACGUCACGUGUCACAAUGGGUGACUAAAAUGACGUUUGGCCGAUCUCCUUCAGCCAACAUGUGUGGGCAAAAUUGUUUCGUGCCACACGUCUGACACUUAUUAGGGUCCAUUAAAAAGAGUAGAAAUACAUAGGAAGUGUAUGAACUUCACAUCGAAUAAUCGUAAACACAUGUAAUAAACGUUCUCAAUAUAUCAGCUAGAACAUGGCAGAUCAGAUAAAGUACUUAAACCAAAAUGGCAGAUCUCAUCACCUAGAGCAUGCUGCUUGUAUAAUAAUGUGGCGGGCAGUGCUAAAGAUCUAUUUGAGUGCAACAAACAUUGAGAUGUGAGAAUACUAACAAGAAGAGAGGAUGGGAACACAACAGAUAGAGGAAACCGAUCGAAAGAAGAAGAAGAGCAUAUUAACAAGACAAGGGGAACAUGAUAAUUAUUUUAUUGAUCAUUACUCCAAGAUAAAGUACAAUAGAGUUAUGUAGACGGUCUAUAAGAGAUACCACAUCAGAUUUGUGUCUAGUUGGAGAAGAUAGGAGAGGAGAGAAGAGAGGAGAGAGAAGAGAAGCGGGCUACAAGCUUACAACCGGUUGUAGCACGAGUCCCAACAACCUUUAUGAGAGAAAGAUGUGACAUAUAUUAAUGAUAUAACUUACUAGUCUAACUAACUAUUGUAUGACUGAGUUAUUAAGAUGGCUGCAAGUGACAUGGAACGUAUCUGGUGCACCAAGGUAAUUGGUGCUAUCGGUGCAUCUGACCCUGUUGUACAUUCAAAAAUGUUUGAAAAAAUCCGAAAAAGAUUAUUAUUGCAUUGACACAACAUCAAUGUAUGUUAUCACAAAAGUUCAAAUCAAAAUUUCAAACAUUGCUUAAGAUACAAAAAAUGAUAAAUUUGACAUCAAUGUGCUAAUGGGCCAAAAAUAAAAUCCAACUUGUGUUAUGUACUAUUUAGUGUCAAAUUUGUCAUUUUAGUAUCACGAGCAAUGUUUUGAAUUUUCAUUUGAUUUUUUAUGACAAAAUACAUUGAUGUUGUGUGAAUGCACUAUUUUUUUCUGAAUUUUUUUCGAAUAAUGUGCAAUGGGGGACCGAUGCACUAGUAGCACCAACUGCCCCGGUGAACCGGAUACGUCGCCACAAGUGACAUGGCAAAUCCAUAUAGCCAGCUCUUGGCUAUAUUUAUUAACCAUGCUUAAUGAGUCAACACAGUGGGUGCAAGAAGCGGCUGCAUCGAUUAAAACAUUUGUUUGUUGGCGGGGGCAGAGAUUGGCCGUCGACAGCGUCACAAGCUAGACCUGCAGCGAUGUCCAGGUGCAGUUGUGAGGUGCGGCCGUGCUGGGCGCAUGAGAGUAGCACACAACUCACUCGGGCCCAGCUCACCGUGUACUUGGGCCGAAACUCGGCCAGGGUGUUGGUGUGUGUGAACACCAGGGUGAUGUUGAGGCGGACCUAGCCAAGGCCUUUGUGGGCAAUGCCCUUUCCAAAGAUGUCGGCCUAAUCGCCCGUGUAGAAGAGUGGUGUAGAGUCAGGCAGGGUGCCCUCCCGCCCCGCGAAGGUGAACCACCCACCAACGCGGUUCCAGAAGCCUGCAUCUAAAUGCGAGCUUGACCUGGGUGCGUUGCAGGUGGGGAAAGAAAACACUAAUUUAUCCUAAUCUAAGCCCUUCAAAAAAGAUUCUUCAGGGAUUUCCCCAGGUCUACAGGAGGGGGGGCACUGCCCCCCAGCCCAGCACAUAACUCCGCCAUUUGCUUGUGUUGAUGAGUGGGUGAGUGUGUGAUAACCCACAAGUAUAGGGGAUCACGGCAAUCUUCGAGGGUAGUAUUUCAACCAAAUUUAUUAAUUCGAUAGAAGGGGAGCCAAAGAAUAUUUGUAAGUAUUAGCAGUUGAGUUGUCAAUUCAACCACACAUGGAGAACUAAAUAUCUGCAUAAAAGUGUUUAGUAACACAGUAGUAUGAUAGUUUGAUAAUAGUGGUAACAGUAGCAAUAGUAACGGUAACAAUAAUAGAAGCAAUUUUAUAGCGAUUGUAACAGCAGCAGCAAAAGUAACUUAGGAAAGAUUAAUACAUGGAAAGCGUAGACAUUAGAUCUGUGAUGUACAAUUAUAUUGGAUGAUAUUCAUCAUAUUUUCCUCCAUUGCCACCAACUGACAACCUCGGAUGGACGCGCCACCAAGUGUACCCACGCAAAGAGCCUCUCUUCAAAACAAUGCGUCCAAUGGAGUAAGGCCGUUAACGAUGCCCUCUUGCUAACCCGACAAGGUGGGUCUAGGUCUUCACCUGCAAAAAAGAUCAGAAAGGCACGAGGGUUGCUGAUCUCCUUGGUGAUGCCUACAAGAAGGAAUGAGGCGUCAUCGCUGCAUUGAAAUAGGAGUGGCGAAAGAAGAUGCCCGACUGGUGGAUCCAUGGCACGGCGAGCCGAACAUGUAUCAGCUUCCCGUCUGUGCUGGCGGUUAGCUCCCUGUCGAUGGAUCCAGAACGACCGGUAUCGUAUCCGCCGCUAGUCAUGCGGAAGAUGGCCGGAGAGGAGCCGAGAGGAGGCUGAAGCGAAAUGGAAGUGGACAAAUGGGUAAAGGUUUGAAUCAAUAUGGGUACAUGAAGGGAAUUUUAUGGGGUCAAAAUGUGCUGGUCCGACGUCACAAACGCGUCUGGGCGGCCUCAAAUCCACCUCACAUAUGGUGGAGAUACCGAGGGUGCCGGACAGUCCGAAUGAUUGGGCUUCCCUUCCCUCCCUCGUGUUGCAUGAUUUGCAUUAGCACAUGCUAAAAUACCGGAAUUGUUUUCCAAGGAAAACCAAGCACAUUGAGACCGCAUCAGUGCACGCUGUCACAGAUUUAUUUUGUGAAAAAAUGUUUUGUGAAGCGAUGUUGGAGGUACAGCGAAAAAUGAAACUGGCGCUACAGGAAGUGGAGUGGGAAGAGGUAGGCCUCGCUCUCUCUGCAGCUCAGCCGCAGGUGAUAGAGCUUGACCACGGAGUGGAAUGGGAAAGGGAAGGAGCUGCGGCUUUCGUUGAAAAUACAUCCACGCACGCACACAGUAGGACGAUUGAAGGGCGGAUGCUCUUUCCCCUCUCCACCGAACUUUUCACUGGCUUGUGGGUUUGGCUCCUUAAAUCGAGGCUCGUGCUUUUUUUUUUACCGUGUCUGCCGACUAAAGAUGAGAUGUUUUUCUUUUUCUUUACAACAGCACGGACGCGGUAAAAAAGACUGGGCAGCCGCGCAAUUACUAAGCUCACCUUUCCACCGACAGUAUCUCCACAAUUACUAAGCUCCCAUGAAAUGAAGCACUCUGGUUGAUGGUGGACUUUGGUCAAAUGGCGGACCCCGCCAAAGAUGGUUUUCUAACCAAUGAGUACCACGUGGCAACGUAUUAGUAGAAGCGAAAAUAAAACUGAUUUUCUUGACUCAAUUGUCCGCUUUUUUGUAUUACUAAGCUCACAUGAAAUGGAGCCCUCUGUUUGAUCGUGGACUUUGGUCAAAUGGUGGACCCUGCCGAAGCUGGUUUUCUAGCCAAUGAUUACUACGUGGUAAUGUAUUAGUAGAAGCGAAAGUAAAACUAAUUUUUUGACUCGAUUGUCUGCUUUUUUGUUUGGGUCAACAACGUCGUCCAACGGUGCCCGACGCAUUGUUUUCGGCAUCCAUUUAAGAAAACAAUUUUGAAAGCAUGCGUUUGAAUUAAACAUAAGUAAACAUUAAAUCGGCGGUCAACUGUGGCAAAAGUCCACUUAAACAUUAAUAAAACAUUAAAAACUAAAUAAACGCGCCUCCCAACGACAAAGCACGCUGCCCUAGGUGUCGCCAUCGUUGUCGUCGUCGCCGGUGAGGUCGACGAAGGCUGGUGGCGGCCCAACCCAUGGGAAUGCGGUCUCCCACGCCACUCGCACCGACUCCUACAACAUCUGCCCCACCGGCAGCAUUGCUGCGCGGCGCGCGCUCGUCAUUCUCCUGCUCCCGACACUCUUCCUCCACCUCCUGUGCCCAGCAGGCACGACACUCCUCCUCCUCACACUCGGCUUGCAUCCAGCGCUCGCUGUCGGCGCGCUCCUCGGACAGGUGGAGCUGUCCCCAGUGCUCCAGGUAGGCCUCCUCUUGCUUCGGCGAGGCGCCCAGCGCGAUGGGCGGCGCGCUAGCCCACUCACGGAGGAUGCCGGUCCACGCUACAUCUCCGACUCUGGCUCCGUGGGAAGCGUGUGAGUGAGCGCACGUGUGUGCUCAGGCGGUGGGGGGGGGGCGUAGGCACGGUCCCCCGCCGACGAUAGCCCGUGUCCUGCUCAUGCUGGCUCUCCUCUAGGGUGCCCUGGAGCACCACCUCCAAUGUGGCCUGGUGGGCCGCCUCCUUCUCCUCCGAUGCCACCUCCCGGGGCGACGGCACGAACCCAAGGUUAAGCCGCAUGCCGCCGCGGCGGGCCACAUCGUGCUCCAUAGCGAACCAGGCCACCCGGUUAGGGGAGACUUGCGAGUAGGCAGGGUCGCGCCAAUGCUCUGGUGUCAGGAGGCCGCGGUGUUUGGAGUUCCUCUAAUCUAUGUCAACAACUGCUUGUUACAAGGGAGUAAUUGACGUCAAGAGCUUUGUUGCUUGCUCAUGUGUUGACGUCUACUUCAAAUUGAUGGCUUGAUUCUGUUGAAGCAAAUGGGUUUAACCGAAAGUUUUAAAAUGGUUUUUGUUGGUUUCGGUCGAAGAGUUUGGUUUUUAAAAAUUUGGAUUGUGCCGGUAAGUUUUAUUGGUUUGCAUGGUCUAGGUCUUAAACCUUUUCCUAGCCGGCUUGCUUGUUUGUUGAUGAGCGGUGCUGGUCCAAUUUCUUUAUUUCGUUAGAAGUUUUGCCAAACGUUGAAUGGCGGAUCUGAACGAGUAGGGCGUUUUGGUGCUCAGGCUCAUCUGCACCUGGUUAGAAAAAUUAUAAAAAAUUCAAAACAAAUUCAAAAAAUUUCAACUCUUUUUUGUGUGGUAGACAAUUUGAUGUGUGAGGCCCGCUCCAAAUUUCAAGUCAUUUGGACAUUUGAGCAGCUCUCAGUAAAAAAGACAAAUCGGACUAAAACAGUACAUGAACAGUAAACAUUUUUACAGACUCCCAAUUUAUCUUUUUUACUGAGAGCUUCUCAAACGUCCAAAUGAUUUGAAAAUUGGAGCGGACCUCACGCAUCAAAUUGUCUACAACACAAAAAAAUUGGAAUUUUUUUGAAUUUUUCUAUUAUUUGUUUUGAUUUUUUGUCAACGUGGGUGCAGAUGCGCUCGGGUGCAGAAAUGAAUUUUUCGAUCUGAACAUUAUAUUCUUUUCAAAUAAAGUUGCUGAUUUUUUUACUUCCCGUUGUCAUAUCUUCUAAGGUUCUAAACUCUCUAGGAAUGUUUGCUCCUGGUCCAUCACGGCUUUGGGGAGCUGGUGGGCCGCUCAUGCGAUUGUUUGCUUGGGUCCACUCCUAGCCGAACGUGACACUCAUAUAUUGAUUAUUGUGUUAUACAUAAGAAUACCAUAAUCACCCACAAAACAAUUUAGUUCACCUCAUAGAUAGAUAUUGUCUCUAUCGAGCGAGAGCGAAGCCAACAAAAAGAAGAAAUCAUCAUUGCAACUAAAAGUCAUCUUAACUCAUGUGAAAUACAUAAUGAAGCCACCAACCAUAAUAUCAUGUCAAAUAAAAAGAAAGGCUUAACUCAUGUCUAACGACGGCACGACAAAGCGCGCGUCAACCUCUAGUGUUACACCAACUCCAACAGGGCGACCAUUUCAUCUGUCCACAUCCGUUUUGGUCGUAGCGGACAAAAACGCCAGCUCAACGCGCCGACCCAUUUCCAAAAUCCGUCUGCAUCGCGUCCGCGUAGACCUGUUUUCGGCUAAAAAUUACGCAUGAAAUGUGUCGGCGCAGACAUGUCGCAGACGCACCGCACGUCUCCUCGAUGUCCACCGCGGUCCCACUUGUCGGUCGCCUAACCACCAUUCGCGUCUUAUUAAAUGCCAACACCUACCUCAGGGCCCGCCUGGCAGCGUGUGAAAGGUCCGCAUGCCCGUCCUUUUUAAUAGAAGCGUGUGACGGGGCCGGCCUCAUCCACUUCCAACACCCGUCCACAUUUGGCCACGCGGUGCUCCCUCGCCGGCGACCAGGAACCCUAGCAAGCCCAAACCACACGUAGCGAGGUCCUCCCGUCGGCGACCAUGGGGUUUUCAAUGGCAAGCGAAGGGGGAAGCUGACCUUCGGUGUGAGCUCUUCCCGCGGCUCGAGAGCUAUUCCGUCGCCGCCUCCUAGACGUGGCUCACCACCGGAGCGGCAGCGUCUGUACAUACCAGUCCAUCAGGCGCGGUGGCACUAGCAGUACCGCCGUCCACUGCAGUAUCCGGAUGUCAACCUGCCUCACAGCUGGCAUCUGGAUCCGCAGCGGAUCCCCAUUUUGGCAGCACCACGCACGACAUGGGUGCAUGCCGAGGAGGUUCGCCGGCAUCGCAAGGUCCUCACUCCGGAGCAUCGACAGAUGCAUACCUACGCGCUAGACCCCCCCAACUAGGAGCGCUGAUUUUUGCUAGAGCACGAGGAGGAGCGCCGCUGGGGCGUCCAUGUUGACCACGACGUGCCUCCGCAGCUUCUUGAGGUUCUUCCGCACGAGGAGGACGAAGAGGCGACGUACCAAGCCGCCCUCGAGCAAGCCCUGCAGCAAGCGCUGGAGGCGAGCAGGGUCGAGAAGGACGCCCAAUGGGAUGGGCUGGAGCGCGCCCUCGCCUUGUCGGCGACAGGGGACUCCAUCCACUCCCCGCUCUUCAUCCCGCCUCCGCCAUCGCUGCCCAUCGUCGAGCCCAAGGCGGAGCCGGAGCCCAUGUUGGAAAUAUGCCCUAGAGGCAAUAAUAAAUUAGUUAUUAUUAUAUUUCCUUGUUCAUGAUAAUCGUUUAUUAUCCAUGCUAGAAUUGUAUAGAUAGGAAACUCAGAUACAUGUGUGGAUAAAUAGACAACACCAUGUCCCUAGUAAGCCUCUAGUUGACUAGCUCGUUGAUCAAUAGAUGGUUACGGUUUCCUGACCAUGGACAUUGGAUGCCAUUGAUAACGGGAUCACAUCAUUAGAAGAAUGAUGUGAUGGACAAGACCCAAUCCUAAGCAUAGCACAAGAUCGUGUAGUACGCAUGCUAAAGCUUUUCUAAUGUCAAGUAUCAUUUCCUUAGACCAUGAGAUUGUGCAACUCCCGGAUACCGUAGGAAUACUUUGGGUGUGCCAAACGACACAACGUAACUGGGUGGCUAUAAAGGUGCACUACGGGUAUCUCCGAAAGUGUCUGUUGGGUUGGCACGAAUCGAGACUGGGAUUUGUCACUCCGUGUGACGGAGAGGUAUCUCUGGGCCCACUCGGUAGAACAUCAUCAUAAUGUGCACAAUGUGAUCAAGGAGUUGAUCACGGGAUGAUGUGUUACGGAACGAGUAAAGAGACUUGCCAGUAACGAGAUUGAACAAGGUAUCGGGAUACCGACGAUCGAAUCUCGGGCAAGUACAAUACCGCUAGACAAAGGGAAUUGUAUACGGGAUUGAUUGAAUCCUCGACAUUGUGGUUCAUUCGAUGAGAUCAUCGUGGAACAUGUGGGAACCAACAUGAGUAUCCAGAUCCCGCUGUUGGUUAUUAACCGGAGAACGUCUCGGUCAUGUCUGCAUGGUUCCCGAACCCGUAGGGUCUACACACUUAAGGUUCGAUGACGCUAGGGUUAUAAGGAAUAGAUAUACGUGGUUACCGAAUGUUGUUCGGAGUCCCGGAUGAUAUCCCGGACGUCACGAGGAGUUCCAGAAUGGUCCGGAGGUAAAGAUUUAUAUAUGGGAAGUCCUGUUUUGGUCACCGGAAAGGUUUCAGGUUUUAUCGGUAACGUACCGGGACCACCGGGAGGGUCCUGGGGGUCCACCAAGUGGGGCCACCAGCCCCGGAGGGCUGCAUGGGCCAAGUGUGGGAGGGGACCAGCCCCAGGUGGGCUGGUGCGCCCCCCCCACCAAGGCCCAAGGCGCCUCCAAGAGGGAAAGGGGGCAAACCCUAGGGCAGAUGGGCCCUAAGGCCCACCCCAGGUGCGCCUCCCCCUCUCCCCCUUGUGGCCGCCACCCAGAUGGGAUCUGGGGGCUGCCGCCACCCCUAGGGAGGGAACCUUAGGUGGGGGCGCAGCCCCUCCCCUUCCCCUAUAUAUACUUGAGGUAUUGGAGGCUGCAAGACACACGAGAUCCUCUCCUUCUUGGCGCAACCCUACCCCUCUCCCUCCUCGUCUCUUGCGAUGCUUGGCGAAGCCCUGCUGGAGUACCACGCUCCUCCACCACCACCACGCCGUUGUGGUGCUGCUAGAUGGAGUCUUCCUCAACCUCUCCCUCUCUCCUUGCUGGAUCAAGGCAUGGGAGACGUCAUCGGGCUGUACGUGUGUUGAACGCGGAGGUGCCGUCCGUUCGGCACUAGGAUCUCCGGUGAUUUGGAUCACGACGAGUACGACUUCUUCAACCCCGUUCUCUUGACCGCUUCCGCUUAGCAAUCUACAAGGGUAUGUAGAUACACUCUUCUUCCCCUCAUUGCUGGUUUCUCCAUAGAUAGAUCUUGGUGACACGUAGGAAAAUUUUGAAUUUCUGCUAGGUUCCCCAACAGUGGUAUCAGAGCUAGGUCUAUUGCGUAGAUUCUAUGCACGAGUAGAACACAAAGUAGUUGUGGGCAUUGAUUUUGUUCAAUAUGCUUACCGUUACUAGUCCAAUCUUGCUUCGACGGUAUUGUGGGAUGAAGCGGCCCGGACCGACCUUACACGUACUCUUACGUGAGAUAGGUUCCACCGACUGACAUGCACUAGUUGCAUAAGGUGGCUAGCGGGUGCAAGUCUCUCCCACUUUAGUCGUAACGGAUUCGAUGAAAAGGGUCCUUAUGAAGGGUAAAUAGCAAUUGGCAUAUCACGUUGUGGUUUUGCGUAGGUAAGAAACGUUCUUGUUAGAAAACCAUAGCAGCCACGUAAAACAUGCAAACAACAAUUAGAGGACGUCUAACUUGUUUUUGCAGGGUAUGCUAUGUGAUGUGUGUAACACCCUCGAUGCGACUAUAUCUCCCACGUGUCGAGGCACGACUUAGAGGCAUAAUCACAUUGAAGGCAUAUGUCGCAAGUGAGGUAAUCUUCACACAACCCAUGUAAUAAAUAAGGAAAAGAGAUUACAUAGUUGGCUUACAAUCGCCACUUCACACAAUUACAGGAAUAAAGCAUUACAACAACCAAAUACAAUCAGGGCCCGACUACGAAGCCAAAAUAAAAGAAGAACCCCAAAUGCGACAAAGGUCCCCGGUCGACCCCAACUGGGCUCCACUACUGAUCAACUAGAACGAAACACCACAAAGGACAAGAUCUUCAUCGAGCUCCUCCUGAGCUUGGUUGCUUCAACUGCGCGGUCUCAUCGGCACCUGCAAGCUGGUUUUGGAAGUAUCUGUGAGCCACAGGGACUCAGCAAUCUCGCACCCUCGCGAUCAAAACUAUUUAAGCUUAUGGGUAAGGUAAAGAUAUGAAGUGGAGCUACAUCAAGCGACUAGCAUAUAUGGUGGCUAACAUGCGCAAAAGAGAGCGAGAAGAGAAAGCAAAGCACGGUCGAGAAACUAUGAUCAAGAAGUGAUCCUAGAACAACCUACGUCAAGCAUAACUCCAACAACCGUGUUCACUUCCCGGCCUCCACCGGAAAGAGACCAUCACGGUUACACACGCGGUUGAUUCAUUUUAAUUAAGGUCAAGUUCAGGUUUUCUACAACCGGACAUUAACAAAUUCCCAUCUGCCCAUAACCGCGGGCACGGCUUUCGACGCCGGUGAGCUGGGUGGCUGCUGGCGCGCCGCCCAUGGGGACGACGCCCUGAGCCGGCGAUGGUUCUGUCUGGAAACUGUUAUGAGCAUCUAUUUUGGUGGAACAUAUAGUAUGAUGAAGUUGUCUCCGGAACUGUUAUCUUAUGUUUCCUAGUGUAGACCAGAACAAUAUUAAACCUCUCUAUAUAGUGCAGUAGUAUGUUGUAUAAAGAACACUGGUAAGUUUAUCCAUCAGCAUGUCAGGUUAGCUACAAUGGAACAUAAAAUUACUAUGGCUAUGCUGUGUGGUACCACUGUCUGUUUUUUCUCUUAGGUAAGAUAGCAUUGUUCAGUUACACAUGGAAUUACUACCUUUUCUUUUUCAUC
Molecule: long non-coding RNA, 13398 nt
Filed under: Triticum aestivum (bread wheat)
Lineage: Eukaryota; Viridiplantae; Streptophyta; Magnoliopsida; Poales; Poaceae
Description: long non-coding RNA (TAES_LNC011395)
Source: RNAcentral